GAUGAAGAACGUAGUGAAAUGCGAUAAGUAGUGUGAAUUGCAGAAUUCAGUGAAUCAUCGAAUCUUUGAACGCACAUUGCGCCCUUUGGUAUUCCUUAGGGCAUGCCUGUUCGAGCGUCAUUUAAACCUUCAAGCUAAGCUUGGUGUUGGGUGACUGUCCGCUUCACGGCGGACUCGCCUCAAAAUUAUCGGCGGCCGGUACAUUGGCUUCGAGCGCAGCAGAAACGCGAACUCGGGCCCGUCGUAUUGGCUCCCAGAAGCUAUCUUCACAAUUUUGACCUCGGAUCAGGUAGGGAUACCCGCUGAACUUAAGCAUAUCAAUAAGCGGAGGA
Molecule: unclassified non-coding RNA, 332 nt
Filed under: soil metagenome
Description: partial contains 5.8S ribosomal RNA, internal transcribed spacer 2, and large subunit ribosomal RNA
Rfam family: 5.8S ribosomal RNA (bases 1-120)
Source: RNAcentral